Molecule: ribosomal RNA, 253 nt
Filed under: uncultured bacterium
Lineage: Bacteria
Description: partial 16S ribosomal RNA
Rfam family: Bacterial small subunit ribosomal RNA
Source: RNAcentral
UACAGAGGUCCCGAGCGUUGUUCGGAUUCACUGGGCGUAAAGAGCUCGUAGGCGGUUUGUUGCGUCGGCUGUGAAAUCCCGAGGCUCAACCUCGGGUCUGCAGUCGAUACGAGCAAACUAGAGUGUUGCAGGGGAGACUGGAAUUCCUGGUGUAGCGGUGAAAUGCGCAGAUAUCAGGAGGAACACCGGUGGCGAAGGCGGGUCUCUGGGCAACAACUGACGCUGAGGAGCGAAAGCGUGGGGAGCGAACAGG